RNAcentral lists this ribosomal RNA (266 nucleotides) under uncultured bacterium. RNAcentral's name for it is "partial 16S ribosomal RNA". It matches the Rfam family "Bacterial small subunit ribosomal RNA", at positions 1234 to 1500 of the family's 1533-position model. The record is from RNAcentral.
CGUAAACAGAGGGAAGCGAGCCCGCAGGGGGAGCGAAUCCCAAAAAUAACGUCCCAGUUCGGAUUGUAGUCUGCAACCCGACUACAUGAAGCUGGAAUCGCUAGUAAUCGCGGAUCAGAAUGCCGCGGUGAAUACGUUCCCGGGUCUUGUACACACCGCCCGUCACACCAUGGGAGUCGGAAAUGCCCGAAGUCUGUGACCCAACCUUAGGGAGGGAGCAGCCGAAGGCAGGUCGGAUGACUGGGGUGAAGUCGUAACAAGGUACC